Molecule: ribosomal RNA, 459 nt
Filed under: uncultured bacterium
Lineage: Bacteria
Description: partial 16S ribosomal RNA
Rfam family: Bacterial small subunit ribosomal RNA
Source: RNAcentral
CCUACGGGUGGCAGCAGUGAGGAAUAUUUGUCAAUGGGCGCGAGCCUGAACCAGCCAAGUCGCGUGAGGGCAGACGGUCCUAUGGAUUGUAAACCUCUUUUGUCGGGGAGCAAAAGACGCCACGCGUGGCGUUCCGAGCGUACCCGAAGAAAAAGCAUCGGCUAACCCCGUGCCAGCACCCACGGGCAUACGGAGGAUGCGAGCGUUAUGCGGAUUUAUUGGGUUUAAAGGGUUCGCGGGCGGACGAUAACGGCAGUGGUAAAAUUGAGGGUCUAAACCUGUUCGAGACGUUGAAACUGGUUUUCUUGAGUGAGCGAGAAGUAGGCGGAAUGCGUGGUGUAGCGGUGAAAUGCAUAGAUAUCACGCAGAAAUCCGAGUGCGAAGGCAGCAUACCGGCGCUCAACUGACGCUCAUGCACGAAAGUGUGGGUAUCGAACAGGAUUAGAUACCCCUGUAGUC